Molecule: non-coding RNA, 235 nt
Organism: Pelobates cultripes (western spadefoot toad)
Lineage: Eukaryota; Metazoa; Chordata; Amphibia; Anura; Pelobatidae
Source: the annotation of a GenBank genome assembly
UGGAGGUAUGGCUAAGGCAGAGAUCGGACUCUUCCUUAACCAUACCACUUCAUACAAUCAGUUUUAAUAGGCUUAGUGUGGUCAGCUGACACUCACUGCCAAUCACCACCGCCCAUUGCUGCUCAGGAUGAUUCCCCCUCUUUAGCCUGCACAGCAGAGGGAGGCCAGGCUGCUGGAGACACAAGUUAAUGGUCUGAGUCUCAGGAGGUUAAAGCUGAAUGGAAGUACAGGCACU